This 425-nucleotide ribosomal RNA is filed under the name uncultured prokaryote. Its description in RNAcentral is "bacterial SSU rRNA". It matches the Rfam family "Bacterial small subunit ribosomal RNA", at positions 355 to 774 of the family's 1533-position model. The record is from RNAcentral.
UGGGGAAUCCUGGUCAAUGGGCGAAAGCCUGAACCUGCGACGCCGCGUGAGUGAUGAAGGUCGUAAGAUCGUAAAACUCUUUUCAGGGAUCUUAAAGCCUGUCUGUCAACAACAGGCAGGUCUGACUCUCCCUGGAAGAAGCCCCAGCCAACUACGUGCCAGCAGCUGCGGUAAUACGGAGGGGGCGAGCGUUAUUCGGAAUUACUGGGUGUAAAGGGGGCGUAGGAGGCCUUUCAAGUUGGAUGUGAAAUCUCCGGGCUUAACUGGGAGGGGUCAUCCAAAACUGCUAGGCUGGAGGACAGCAGGGGAAAGUGGAAUUCCCGGUGUAGUGGUGAAAUGCGUAGAUAUCGGGAGGAACACCAGUGGCGAAGGCGGCUUUCCAGGCUGUUUCUGACGCUGAGGCCCUAAAGUGUGGGGAGCGAACA